RNAcentral lists this ribosomal RNA (253 nucleotides) under uncultured bacterium. RNAcentral's name for it is "partial 16S ribosomal RNA". It matches the Rfam family "Bacterial small subunit ribosomal RNA", at positions 524 to 776 of the family's 1533-position model. The record is from RNAcentral.
UACGGAGGGUGCGAGCGUUAAUCGGAAUUACUGGGCGUAAAGCGUGCGCAGGCGGUUUUGUAAGCCAGAUGUGAAAUCCCCGGGCUUAACCUGGGAAUGGCAUUUGGGGCUGCAAGGCUUGAGUGCGGCAGAGGAGACUGGAAUUCCUGGUGUAGCAGUGAAAUGCGUAGAUAUCAGGAGGAACACCGAUGGCGAAGGCAGGUCUCUGGGCUGACACUGACGCUCAUGCACGAAAGCGUGGGGAGCAAACAGG